GUUUCUGUAAAGGAAGGUAAUGAGCGGUAAACAAACUCUUAAAUGCACCAGGGGAGCACAGUGCUUACAGAAAUCCUUCUUAAAUAAGUCUUUUUUUUUUUUUUUCCUGUUCCUUCCUAUUGCCCUAGCAGAAAUUUGGGUUCACCUAGAAGCAGACCUUGAGAUAAGGGUUUAAGUGCAAAUGGUGUGUUAGGGAGUUCAUGCCAGGGAACACCAGUAGGAGAGGGAAUUGAUAGUGGGAAGGGAAGGAAAGUCAACACACGGCAUGUCAUGGAGCAGGUUACUACCUAGGCAAGGGAUGCUCAGUCCUGCGGGGCGUCUCUAGGAAACAGUGGAAAGACACACCUCAGAUUUGUGCCACCUGAGGGCGAAGAACCUGGGGUGUUUAUAUACUGGCUCCCUCAGUCACUGUUGGAGGGCUGCUUCUGGGGAGCGGGUGGGUAAUAGUAUCCUAGCGCUCUACCUUCUACUUGGGGAGGGGCUAUCGAAAUCCAAGAAAGCUCUUGGAUGGUAAAUGCUGGCGGUUGGAAGCCAAGCCACAUGUAAGUGGCUGAAACGUAAACGGCUGUGGGCAGGACACCAGCACAUCUGCUACACUUAGAAUAUGUGUGAGGAGGUGGCUUCUCCAUUGCUCCUGAGUGUCACUGCAACAACUCUUCUUUAUCGGUGUCUUCUAGAUGCAUUUUCUGCAAAUCAAAAAAGGUUCUGAGAGACUUAUUAUUAGGAACGUGAAGUAUUUCCUUCAAAAUAUUUUCUUUAUACAGAAAUACUAGGAAAUGGAACCAGUGGCCACAACCAAUAGAUUAAUAUCAAGCCUUUUCAAAAUGCUCCCAUCCGUCAUCUUCAGUGGAUGGAGGAUAUAGAAGCAAAUAUAUACAGCCUUUAUUCUCAAGAUUGUUUUUAUUCCACCAUCAGUGGAUUUCCAUGAUUAGCAAAGGCUAAUCGUAGAUGCUUUUUCAAAGUGUCCGUAUAUCCUUUGUUACCUCAUGGACCAUGGUGUGGCAGGCAGACCACUUGUAACUUGCCCAAGAGGGCAGGGGUCAAACAGAGGUAUGGGAUGCUGUCCUUUAUUCAUAGGUACCAGCUCCAAACACUGACAACUGAAAAGAGUGAUUAAAUCCAGGCAUCCUAACUCCCAUAUCUUGGAGGCCCUGGACCCUCGUGUUCCUGGUGACUCCUGCUACUGUCUUUAUUCCUAAUGGCACUCUGGCAGCUGAACCAAUCAUGCCCUGGUUGGUUUCCUACUGUUUUGAGGGUUGAUGAGUCUAAGUUCCUAACACAGCAUCAGAUGGGGAUCUUGGUGCUGAGGAGAAUUAAGCUCAUGGAGUCUCUACUGCACACAGAUGCCACAAAAGAGUGGAGCUGAACUUCCCUUGAGAGGCAUAUUGAUGGCCUACCAUCUUGGUAAAAUGGAAUUCAGCUCAGUUUUGUGUCAGACCUAAGUGGCAGCCUGUAUCUGUAACAGAUCCAUGGACUUUUUCUACUCUGACUCCUAAUUCUAGGCCCUGAUAUGUAAUUUGUGAGGUUUCAGAGCUAGAAAAAACUUUAAAGAUCAUCCAGCCAACCUGUCUAUUUUGCUGAUAAGGAUCCUACAUUCCAGAAUGGUUAAGUCACUGACCCAGAGUCAAACAGGGAGUCAAGAGCUGGGCUGAGAGAGAGCCAGUCUUUUCUCACUUUGCAUGAAGUUAGUUAAGAAAGCAGCAGAAUUUCUCACUGGAUUCAGGAGAAGUAAAUGUUUGGUGCCACAAAGUUUUCUGAAUACCUGCUGAAGAUAGUGCAAGGCUCUGUGGGGAUCUGAGGAACAGACCCUGUGCCCUCAGGGCUCUUACACUGUCUGCUUGAGCUCUUUGCUCCUUGCUUCCCAGCUCUCUUCCCCUGUUGCCACUCCCAAUUCAUCCUCCAUCCUAUUUUCACUUCUCUUGUUUUUGGUGCCAAAACCUAGGAACUAUUUUCUCUUUUCUUACAGCUUAUGUCCCUCAUUCCAACUCCCUGAUUCCCUUCCUCCACCAUUUCUCUGUUCCCAUUCUACCAGGUUCUCUUUCUCUUCUCUGCUACUAUAUAUUUCUUUUCCUCGUAUUUAUCUAUCACCUCCCUUGAGCUGCCCCUUCCUAGGCCCCCUUGCUCUCCCCUCUGCCACCCUGGAUCCUGGAAGCAUACUUGGUUAUUGUGGUGAGCGGCCUCUGCAAUGGCCAGUGGUCCCCACCUACUGGUCUCCAUGCCCUCGUGGAAUCCCUUCCCUUUUGGUACAGGAUGGACCUUGUAAGUCAAUUCUAAUGAAUAAAAUAUGACCAAAAUGAUGGGACAUCACUUCUACGCUUAGGUUAAAAAAAGCUGUGGCUUCCACCUUAGGUGCUCUUUGACUACAAGGAAGCUGGCUGCCAUGUUGGAAACUGACCUACCGAGAGGCCCAUGUAACAAGGAACUGAAAUCUCCAGCCAACAGCCAGCAAGUACCUGAGGUCUGCUAACCACCACGUGAGUAAUCCUCCCCCCGUGGAGCCUGGAAACAACUGCAGCCCCUCCGAUAUCUUGACUGUAGCCGGUGAGAGACCCCAAGUCUGAGGCACCCAGCUAAGAUGCUCCUGGAUUCCUGACCCACAGAAACUGUAAGAUAACUUUUAUUUUCCAAUUGGAGUACAGUUGAUUUACAAUAUUGUGUUAGUUUCAGGUGUAGCGCAAAGUGAUUCAGUUAUACGUAUAUAUUUUUUUCAGAUUCUUUUCCCUUACAGGUUAUUACAAAAUAUUGAGUGUAGUUCCCUGUGCUAUAGAGUAGGUCCUUAUUGGUUAUUUUAUAUAUAGUAGUGAAGUGUUUGUGUUGUUUUCAGCUGCUAAGUUUGGGGGGUAAUUUUUUAUGCAGCAACAUUAAAAAUGCAGAGUUGUCCUUUACAGACCCCCACUCAGAAAUGUGUGUCUUCUAUGACCUUGAGCAAAUCGCUGCUACUGUUUGGGCUUCAGUCUCCUCAUCUGGGAGGCUUUGGGCUUAGAGUCUAGUGUCUCAAGUCUUCUGUCCGUGAAGAUGUAGCCUGUGAGGUUACAACAAGGCCCAUCUCUUCUACUGUUUAGUGUAUGAAGCCCGGUUAAACCCGCACAUCUUUGUAUGUUAAGCUCCACGUCUUUAAAUUUGCCUCACGUUUUUCACUCCUAUUAUCUGAAGUCUGUUUCUAAUUUCUGACAGAAUUGCAGCGGCCCAUUGUGUGCCUCGCUCUGCAUGACAUGCCAAUUUCAUUUUGGAGUCACAGCUAUUGUCUUUUUCCCCACUAAUCUCGUUUUGCAAAAUUCCAAUAGAACCUGUGAACAGAGAGAGUUGCCCUUGUGCUUGAUCUGGGCGCUGUGUGGCCCCCAAACAGGGGUGGAUGAUAGACAGCCUGUCUGCCACCCGAGGCAUCUUUUCUUGCUUAAAAAUUUGUUCUCCAGAUUGCAGACUCCCUUCCAACGCUAGCAAAGACUGGAACAUAUUAAAUAAGAGCAGAGCUGAAAUUGGAUGGAAUGUCUCAGCCACUUAGAUUCAGACCUCUCUUUAGGGGGAGCACGUGGGGAAGAGGCCGGGAAGUGCCCACGUGGAUAAUGUGGAGGAAGACAGCUUCCAUCCCUUUCUUAUACCAUUCAAGCCUUAAACAGGGGUAACAUUUUUUCUUAAGCAGGGCCUAUAACCCAGGAUCCAUCACUUAUAUAUGGUGUCCAUGGCAACCAGGCAAUGGUAUGGGAUCCCUUCUCACUGGGGAAUUCCUUUUAUGGCUCAUUUCCGAAACCAGCAUGGCCAGUACAGGAGCCUGCAGUUUCCCAGUUGCUUAGCAACCAGCUCCUAUGCUCUAGUCACUAGGAAAAGCAGACAGUUAAAAAAAAAAAAAGUGUAGUCAGAAUCAUAUGUUACAUUCUUUCUACUUUGUCUCUUUAGAAUAAAAUAGUGUGCGAUAAGGAUGCGGGAAAGGGCAACCGCUCCCUGUUAAUGCCUUCACUGCUCCUGGCGGGCUUGCAGGCAGAGAGAGGGAGGAAAAUGUUAGCAUGCUUUCGGCUGGGAAUUAAGCAGCGCGAGCCAUCUGCACGUUGAAAGCUCUACAUUUUUGUCUUGUGGGGGCAUCAAGCAAAGGACAGCCCCCAACACCGAAGAAGUAUCCUGCCCACAGUGCCAGUAUGCCGAGCUUGAGAAACCCUGCGUUAGAGAGUCAGAAGAACCAUCUGUCUUGUUAAAGACAAGCACUACAGCCAUUUGGAAAACACCCUGGCCUCAAACAGAAGCCUGUCUAGUUUGGACCACUUCAAAUGCCUUGUCACCUCCAUUAUUUCUUUCUUAUAAUGCAUCAACCGGAGCUAUACGUUCCCUAUAAAGGGGAUAAUUAAAUGAUACAUUUAGAGGUUGCUUUCUCAUCCCUCCCAAGCAGAAUGAUGGAAUCUCACCUGGAAGCAGUGACAACCAGGAAAGGCGGAAGAAGGAUGUUUACCAGACACACAUGAACUCAGCUCCCC
Long non-coding RNA from Orcinus orca (killer whale), 4463 nucleotides. RefSeq lists it as uncharacterized. NCBI's taxonomy places the organism in Eukaryota, Metazoa, Chordata, Mammalia, Artiodactyla, Delphinidae. The record is from RefSeq and is a predicted model, not a curated record. The transcript has 3 exons.